Molecule: ribosomal RNA, 528 nt
Filed under: Fusarium sp. PTN12
Lineage: Eukaryota; Fungi; Ascomycota; Sordariomycetes; Hypocreales; Nectriaceae
Description: eukaryotic LSU rRNA
Rfam family: 5.8S ribosomal RNA (bases 163-316)
Source: RNAcentral
CGGAGGGAUCAUUACCGAGUUUACAACUCCCAAACCCCUGUGAACAUACCAAUUGUUGCCUCGGCGGAUCAGCCCGCUCCCGGUAAAACGGGACGGCCCGCCAGAGGACCCCUAAACUCUGUUUCUAUAUGUAACUUCUGAGUAAAACCAUAAAUAAAUCAAAACUUUCAACAACGGAUCUCUUGGUUCUGGCAUCGAUGAAGAACGCAGCAAAAUGCGAUAAGUAAUGUGAAUUGCAGAAUUCAGUGAAUCAUCGAAUCUUUGAACGCACAUUGCGCCCGCCAGUAUUCUGGCGGGCAUGCCUGUUCGAGCGUCAUUUCAACCCUCAAGCCCCCGGGUUUGGUGUUGGGGAUCGGCGAGCCCUUGCGGCAAGCCGGCCCCGAAAUCUAGUGGCGGUCUCGCUGCAGCUUCCAUUGCGUAGUAGUAAAACCCUCGCAACUGGUACGCGGCGCGGCCAAGCCGUUAAACCCCCAACUUCUGAAUGUUGACCUCGGAUCAGGUAGGAAUACCCGCUGAACUUAAGCAUAU